GUGGCUUCACCAAUUUACAUUCCCACCAACAGUGUAGGAAGGUUCCCUUUUCUUCUAAAGUGUGAUCAUUUUUAAUUUUAGUCAUAUAAGUUUCAAAAUUUAAUUCUGGAAGAAUCCUGAGAGGUUAUUAUUCUGGGCUCAGCAGUUCACCAGUAGAACUUUUUGUGAAAAUGUUCGUUAUGCACCAUCUGACAUACGUGGUUGGGGAGCGCUUGAAAUGUGACACGUGUGACCAAGGAAUUGAAUUUUAAAUUAUAUCGAAUUUUAAUUAUUAAAAGUUAGAUUUAAAUAGCCAUAUGUGACUAGUGGCUACUGUAUUGAACAACUCAGUUCUACCUUUGCACAGACUUAGUUAAGUCUCAACUAAUAAUACAACAAUUUUUUUUCUUUUGUAAGUGCCUUUUUUUCCAUGAAAAGUAAGACUAGAAUUAUUGAGUAAUGUGGAAAUAGAUAUAGAUUCCUCUGCCUUAGACUACCUACUUUAUCAAAUGGAAUAAUUUAAAGGAGAAAAUCAGCCCUGCCUUUUGACUACUAAGUGAUCCUAGGCAAUGGCAUUUCUGUAUUAUUGACACGGAGGGAGCCUUCCUAUAGGGACCUUCCAUGGCUUGUAUUUGGUAGAGAUGUAGAGUUCACAGCACAUUUUCUCAAUUUUUUUUUUUUUUCCAGAAAAAAUCCCUUGUAUUAUUAUCAUUCUCAUGUUAGGGGUGCAGAGGCUGAGCUACAGUGACCUGCCAGUUUUAUCAGCAUGAGUGUGAGGAGAGAGGAGGAGGCGGUCUGGUUCAGUUCACACAAAACGUUUCCUAGGGACUCAUUGCUUGUGGCAGGUACUGUUAUGUGCAGAAGAUUCAGAGAGGAAUAAAAUAAAGCUCUCCUCUCUUGGAUAUUUUGGGUGCUCUCCCCUGAGGGAGGGAGAAGAGUGAGGCUGGCUGUGGACAGUCACAUCACCUCUCUAGGAGACUACUUACUAACCGUUCUCUCCGUCUGGGUGUCAGCAGCCCACCCCCCUUCUUCUAAGCCUGGUGGGCACUCUGCCAGUCCUUAUUCCACUGACCUGCACUUUCUAUUAAGGCUUGUCUGCAUCUCACCAUAUCUUCAAAACUCACCCCUUUUUAAAAUAAAUCCUCCUUCUUGAAUUAUCUGGUAAAUGUCAUCUGGUUCUGGUUGGGACACAGUGUGAUACAUCCCCUCCUUCUAAUUGAACUGUUUCUGGGGGUAUAUCUCCUCUCUUCUUGGGUUGGGUGGAACAGCAGCACCAAGGUCUCUGUUCUUGAACACUGGCUGACACAUGGAGUGUGAUACUGUAGAUUCCAGCACUCUAGAUGCCCAGCAUGCUGGGAUCCUUAACCCCAUCACAAGAGAUGCCUCUGUGUUGAGCUGUGGGUUUAAAUUGAGGCAGCAUACCUUGGCAAAUUAUUCCAUUAUGAUAUAUCUAACAGAAGAAAUAUUUAAAUUUAUCAACGAUGUGAUAACAAAUUCUGUUAACAGGUAUAACUUUAUUUAUUGACCAACCAUAGAAGGAUUUCAUUUAUAGAGUGGGUGGUCAAUAAAUGAUUUUGUUGAUGACUAAGUUUGGAUUUAUUCUUAAAUUAUGAUGCAUUGUAAAUACAUACCAGAAAUGAACAAAUAUAUUAAUUAAGAGGUCAGUAUAUUAACAUUAUUUAAUAUAUCUGAAUCACAUGAUUGUAUUUUAACACAGAUCUAUUAAUCUUUACUUAGAUUAUCAUCAGGAAACACUUUUAGUCUUUUAAAUAAUGUAAUUGAAGUAGCUGCCUAUUUUAUACUAAAUGAUUAUUAGAGUAUGAUGUGUCAUACACUGUGGUAGGUACUAGGAUUAAAGUGGUAAACAGGUAGACACUGUUUGCAUUUGCGGAAUGUAUAUUUUAUUGGGUAAGAUGUAUGCCAAAGGAAUAAUUUGCAAGUAAUUUAUGUAUUGCAAUUGUUGCAUAGUUAUAUGGUUUUUGUUUCCUUUUCCCCUUCCUCAUUCUACAACCCCUCCCCCACCCGACCUGGAGCCUGACUGAUAUUGAGACCAAGAAAACAGGGUAUUUUUUUGGAAAUUUGACUCAAGGAGGAGACAGAUAUUCUUUAGCAUAAUAAAGUGCAGGAGAUACACUAAAAGUGAUGAAAAUCUCUGGAAUAAUAUGGCAAUGAAACAUAAAGGAGCUGAACAAGAAGAGAUCCAGUGACAGAGUCUGGGUGUCUGCUUGAAGGAGUUGAGAGUGAGGAGAAAAGAGGCAUAAAGGGAAUCAGAGGCUGUGGAAGGAAGGAGAUACUUUUAUGCUUACAUCUGGUUGGCCAUAUGGGAAUGCCAUGAAUCUAGAGGAGCUGGGUGUGGAACCAGCUUUCAAGACAGUCCUCAAUGACUCUAGCCCCCUCGUAUUCACGUCCUUUUGUAGUCUCCUCCCACAUUGGAAAAGGCUGACUUGUAUAACCAAUAGGAUAUUGUAGAAAUGAUUGUGUCUUUGGAGUUGAUGUUAUAAAAGAUAUGUGGCUUCUGUCCUGUUCUUUUGGACCACUCGGUCUGGGAGAAGCCAGCUGCUAUGUUGUGAGGACUCUCAAGCAGCUCUAUGGAGAGGUCAAUAAGUGAGACCACAUGAGUGAGAAAUCCUGGAAAUGGAUCUUCUAGCGUCAGUCAAGUUUUCAGAUGACUACAGCCUGGGCUCAUAUCUUGCCUGUGAAAUCAAGAGACCCUGAGCCAGAACCACCUGCUGAGCUUCUUCUGAAUUACUGACUCAAAGAAACUAAGGGCAGAGGGAAGGAACAAGAAAAAAGUAGAACAGACCAGCUUUUAUCAUGGGAGGCUGACUUCAAAAUCAAAAUAUGUUCUGGAGCCAUUCAUAGUUAGAACUGAUUUCAAAAUAAAAUUACCAUUGGCUUUCAAGUGGAAAUUACAGGGAGAAAAUGUUAAUAAAAAUGUAAUGGUUAUAAUGGCAACUCUAAUGAUGAUGAUGUUAUGUGCGUGUGGUUAGAUGAAUGAUUAUAUAAUCUGUGACACUUUUUUUUUUAGUCCAUAGAGGUAGAUUAAAAUUGGUACUUAUGGGAUCAUAAUUUAUUCACAUCUCCCUAGCUCAUUAAAAUUACUUUG
Long non-coding RNA from Aethalodelphis obliquidens (Pacific white-sided dolphin), 3085 nucleotides. RefSeq lists it as uncharacterized. The record is from RefSeq and is a predicted model, not a curated record. Lineage: Eukaryota; Metazoa; Chordata; Mammalia; Artiodactyla; Delphinidae. The transcript has 3 exons.